This 77-nucleotide transfer RNA is filed under the name Christensenella sp. Its description in RNAcentral is "tRNA-Val". It matches the Rfam family "tRNA". From Rfam's summary of the family: Transfer RNA (tRNA) molecules are approximately 80 nucleotides in length. Their secondary structure includes four short double-helical elements and three loops (D, anti-codon, and T loops). Lineage: Bacteria; Bacillati; Bacillota; Clostridia; Christensenellales; Christensenellaceae. The record is from RNAcentral. RNAcentral also lists the same sequence under 1 other name.
GGGACUAUAGCUCAGAUGGUUAGAGUACCUCGUUGACAUCGAGGGGGUCACUGGUUCGAGUCCAGCUAGUCCCACCA